UCCAAUAUCACCGCGGAGACUGUCG
This 25-nucleotide non-coding RNA is filed under the name Drosophila erecta. The record is from RNAcentral. RNAcentral also lists the same sequence under 1 other name. Lineage: Eukaryota; Metazoa; Arthropoda; Insecta; Diptera; Drosophilidae.